Long non-coding RNA from Emys orbicularis (European pond turtle), 164 nucleotides. RefSeq lists it as uncharacterized. The transcript has 3 exons. Lineage: Eukaryota; Metazoa; Chordata; Testudines; Emydidae. The record is from RefSeq and is a predicted model, not a curated record.
UCAAAGCCCAUCUCGUUUUGAGUGGUGAACAUUUUGACACCGUUCCACUUGUGAAGCCAUAUGGCCUAAUGAUUAGCACUUGAGAUUUUGACAAAGAGAAUUCAGUCAGAUUUAAAACCUCAAAACUACUCCAAAGAAGGAGAGCAUUAAGUUUUCAGAAAGAA